This 726-nucleotide ribosomal RNA is filed under the name Corynebacterium propinquum. RNAcentral's name for it is "bacterial SSU rRNA". It matches the Rfam family "Bacterial small subunit ribosomal RNA", at positions 42 to 784 of the family's 1533-position model. The record is from RNAcentral. Lineage: Bacteria; Bacillati; Actinomycetota; Actinomycetes; Mycobacteriales; Corynebacteriaceae.
GCGUGCUUACACAUGCAAGUCGAACGGAAAGGCCUUUUCGGAGGUACUCGAGUGGCGAACGGGUGAGUAACACGUGGGUGAUCUGCCCUGCACUCUGGGAUAAGCCUGGGAAACUGGGUCUAAUACCGGAUAGGACCGCACUUUAGUGUGUGUGGUGGAAAGUUUUUUCGGUGUAGGAUGAGCCCGCGGCCUAUCAGCUUGUUGGUGGGGUAAUGGCCUACCAAGGCGGCGACGGGUAGCCGGACUGAGAGGUUGGUCGGCCACAUUGGGACUGAGAUACGGCCCAGACUCCUACGGGAGGCAGCAGUGGGGAAUAUUGCACAAUGGGCGCAAGCCUGAUGCAGCGACGCCGCGUGGGGGAUGACGGCCUUCGGGUUGUAAACUCCUUUCGCCAGGGACGAAGCGUUUUGUGACGGUACCUGGAGAAGAAGCACCGGCUAACUACGUGCCAGCAGCCGCGGUAAUACGUAGGGUGCAAGCGUUGUCCGGAAUUACUGGGCGUAAAGAGCUCGUAGGUGGUUUGUCACGUCGUCUGUGAAAUUCCACAGCUUAACUGUGGGCGUGCAGGCGAUACGGGCUGACUUGAGUACUGUAGGGGUAACUGGAAUUCCUGGUGUAGCGGUGAAAUGCGCAGAUAUCAGGAGGAACACCGAUGGCGAAGGCAGGUUUACUGGGCAGUUACUGACGCUGAGGAGCGAAAGCAUGGGUAGCAAACAGGAUUAGAUA